UAUUCUCUGAUGCGUGUUUCG
Molecule: non-coding RNA, 21 nt
Filed under: Arabidopsis thaliana (thale cress)
Lineage: Eukaryota; Viridiplantae; Streptophyta; Magnoliopsida; Brassicales; Brassicaceae
Source: RNAcentral